GUCCUUGUAGUUCAAUGGAUAGAACAAGUCCGUCCUAAGGACGAAAUGCAGGUUCGAUUCCUGCCGAGGACA
This 72-nucleotide transfer RNA is filed under the name Candidatus Magasanikiibacteriota bacterium. RNAcentral describes it as "tRNA-Arg". It matches the Rfam family "tRNA". From Rfam's summary of the family: Transfer RNA (tRNA) molecules are approximately 80 nucleotides in length. Their secondary structure includes four short double-helical elements and three loops (D, anti-codon, and T loops). The record is from RNAcentral. Lineage: Bacteria; Candidatus Magasanikiibacteriota.